CAUUGCCCAGUGUUCAUCACUGCCCUUGAGGUGGUAGCCAGGGGAGUCCUGGUCUCAUCCUGCUGUCACCUAGCAAGGCACUGUCAUGGGUCCUGGAUGCUCCUGGAAGUGUGUUCAGGAAGAAGGACUUCCUCAUGAUAUCCUGUUUUCCUCGGUUUACAAAGACAACUCAGUGUCGAGGGAACUGAAGACUGGGGUGUGCUAGUCUAACACAAAUUUAGCUGAAGCCAAGAAUGCCCUGGUUUGGCUCUGGAAGGAGUGCUAAGCAGCCAAGGACAUUUGGAAAGCCAAAUCUAAACCAGUACGGUGUUUUGCUCAGCCCAUUUCCAGCUUCUGUGAAAUCAGUGCUGACACCAGUGAGACCAUUGGAGACAUAAGGAGUACUCCUGUGCUGGCUGACCCAGUGCAGUUCAGCUGCUGGCUCACAGGAGGGUUUUUUUAGCUCACUGCUUUUCUCAUUAAGGAAUUGUUGUCAUCGAAUCUGCAUGAUAGAAGAUAACAGAGCUGGAAAUAUACCUGCAACCUUGCUUGUGACAUUUCAAGGACUGAUAUGAAUCGUGCUAAUAUUAAGUCAUGACUAUUUUUGCACAGAGAUGAAUGUAUGUAAGCACAUAGAUGUACUCUAUCUAUCCAUCUAUAUAUAUAUAAACUUGUGGAAGAGCCAAGUGACAAAUGGCCCUCAAGAUUACUAGAAAAUAUAGCUGAAUGCCACUAGCUAGAAUUACAAUCUGAUGUUACAUCCACCUGGUGCUCCAAGGGACUCCUGAAAUGAAAAUUUAGGCUAUUUCCCUUCAUGCAAUAUAUAGACUGAUAGCAGUAUAUAAGGUGAUCUUUUAAAAUUACUUUUAAUGCGUCAUGUGGGUCUUACAUGGAUUAUAAUACUUAUGAGGAUUGUAGAAAUGAGAGAAAGGUAAAGGAAAAUGUCUGUUUUACAGAAAGCUGCCUAUCUACUCUCUUAGAAAUAAUAUGGGAAUAUAAUAUGUGCCCUAUAAUAACACUUCUCCCUGAUAAGUAACAGAUGAGAUGCUAUAGUGUUGCAACUGUGCUGAAAGCAUUUUCAAUGGCACUCUUUGUUUGACGCUAAUGAAUGUAGAUCCUCUGGGUUGGACUGCUUUACCAGAUUUUCAUCUAAGACAAAGCAGGGAAGAACUGCUCACAGGACUCCCCAGACCUGUUCCAGCUCUGAGCCUGGUCUAGAUCUGAUAGAGAUCUGGAAUUUGUUAAUAUGCACAGAAAACCAUAACAAAAUGUGUUGAUUGAUGUAUUCUGUUCCAUAAACAGAUCUUCCCCUGAGCAAUUAAAAUAAUCUCAUUGCACUACACCUUCUUCAAAUUCUCUUGAGAGUGUCUAAGUUAACUUGAUGUACA
Molecule: long non-coding RNA, 1367 nt
Organism: Hirundo rustica (Barn swallow)
Lineage: Eukaryota; Metazoa; Chordata; Aves; Passeriformes; Hirundinidae
Exons: 4
Source: RefSeq, a predicted model, not a curated record